UGGGGUGUAGCUCAGUGGUAGAGCGCUUGCCUAUAGCGUGGACAAGGCCCUGGGUUUGAUCCCCAGCACUGCAA
This 74-nucleotide transfer RNA is filed under the name Fukomys damarensis (Damara mole-rat). It matches the Rfam family "tRNA". Rfam says of the family: Transfer RNA (tRNA) molecules are approximately 80 nucleotides in length. The record is from Rfam by way of RNAcentral. Lineage: Eukaryota; Metazoa; Chordata; Mammalia; Rodentia; Bathyergidae.